UAGUCAUAUGCUUGUCUCAAAGACUAAGCCAUGCAUGUCUAAGUANANUAUAGAAACUGCGAAUGGCUCAUUAAAACAGUUAUAGUCCACUUGAUAUUGAACCUUACAUGGAUAACCGUAGUAAUUCUAGAGCUAAUACAUGCGUUACGCCCAACUUUUGGACGGGCAGUAUUUAGAUAACUAAAUCAAUAUUCCUUGCGUCUAUUUGAUGAUUCAGUCUAACUUAUCGGAUCGCUGGCUUUUUGCUGCGAUAGAUCAUUCGAGUUUCUGCCCCAUCAGCUUGAUGGUAGUGUAUUGGACUACCAUGGCUUUUACGGGUAACGGGGGAUUAGGGUUCGACACCGGAGAGGGAGCCUGAGAAACGGCUACCACUUCUACGGAAGGCAGCAGGCGCGUAAAUUACCCAAUCCUAACUCAGGGAGGUAGUGACAAGAAAUAAUAGACCGGAUUUAUCCGGGUUUGCAAUGAGCCUAAUUUACACAACUUAGUGAGGAUCCAUUG
This 501-nucleotide ribosomal RNA is filed under the name uncultured eukaryote. Its description in RNAcentral is "bacterial SSU rRNA". It matches the Rfam family "Eukaryotic small subunit ribosomal RNA", at positions 21 to 550 of the family's 1831-position model. The record is from RNAcentral.